Molecule: ribosomal RNA, 508 nt
Filed under: uncultured bacterium
Lineage: Bacteria
Description: partial 16S ribosomal RNA
Source: RNAcentral
GGAGUUAGCCGGUGCUUCUUCUGUGAGUGAUGUCCUUCCUGCCGGUUAUUGACCCGCAGGCCUUCUUCCUCACUGAAAGUGCUUUACAACCCGAAGGCCUUCUUCACACACGCGGCAUGGCUGGAUCAGGGUUGCCCCCAUUGUCCAAUAUUCCCCACUGCUGCCUCCCGUAGGAGUCUGGGCCGUGUCUCAGUCCCAGUGUGGCUGAUCAUCCUCUCAGACCAGCUACGGAUCGUCGCCUUGGUGAGCCGUUACCUCACCAACCAGCUAAUCCGACAUAGGCUCAUCCGAUAGCGCGAGGCCCGAAGGUCCCCCGCUUUCCCCCGUAGGGCGUAUGUGGUAUUAGCCUGGGUUUCCCCCAGGUUAUCCCCCACUACCGGGCAGAUUCCUAUGCAUUACUCACCCGUCCGCCGCUCGCCACCAGGGAGCAAGCUCCCCGUGCUGCCGCUCGACUUGCAUGUGUUAGGCCUGCCGCCAGCGUUCAAUCUGAGCCAGAAUCAAACUCUGA